CGAAGUUGAUAGCUUGCUAUUUGCUGACGACCGGCGCACGGGUGCGUAACGCGUAUGCAAUCUGCCUUAUACUGGGGGAUAGCCUUUAGAAAUGAAGAUUAAGACCCCAUAGUCUAUUGAAGUGGCAUCACUUUAAUAGUAAAGGUUACGGUAUAAGAUGAGCAUGCGUCCUAUUAGCUAGAUGGUGUGGUAACGGCACACCAUGGCAACGAUAGGUAGGGGCCCUGAGAGGGGGAUCCCCCACACUGGUACUGAGACACGGACCAGACUCCUACGGGAGGCAGCAGUGAGGAAUAUUGGACAAUGGAGGCAACUCUGAUCCAGCCAUGCCGCGUGCAGGAAGACUGCCCUAUGGGUUGUAAACUGCUUUUAUACGGGAAGAAACACCCCUACGUGUAGGGACUUGACGGUACCGUAAGAAUAAGCAUCGGCUAACUCCGUGCCAGCAGCCGCGGUAAUACGGAGGAUGCAAGCGUUAUCCGGAAUCAUUGGGUUUAAAGGGUCCGUAGGCGGGCAAUUAAGUCAGAGGUGAAAGUUUGCGGCUCAACCGUAAAAUUGCCUUUGAUACUGGUUGUCUUGAAUCAUUGUGAAGUGGUUAGAAUAUGUAGUGUAGCGGCGAAAUGCAUAGAGAUUACAUAGAAUACCAAUUG
RNAcentral lists this ribosomal RNA (650 nucleotides) under uncultured bacterium. RNAcentral describes it as "bacterial SSU rRNA". It matches the Rfam family "Bacterial small subunit ribosomal RNA", at positions 63 to 715 of the family's 1533-position model. The record is from RNAcentral.